AUUGAACGCUGGCGGCAUGCCUUACACAUGCAAGUCGAACGGCAGCACGGGGGCAACCCUGGUGGCGAGUGGCGAACGGGUGAGUAAUGCAUCGGAACGUGCCCCGUACGCGGGGGAGUAACCAGUCGAAAGACUGGCUAAUACCGCAUACGCUCCACGGAGGAAAGCAGGGGAUCGCAAGACCUUGCACUAUGGGAGCGGCCGAUGCCCGAUUAGCUAGUUGGUGAGGUAAAGGCUCACCAAGGCGACGAUCGGUAGCUGGUUUGAGAGAACGACCAGCCACACUGGGACUGAGACACGGCCCAGACUCCUACGGGAGGCAGCAGUGGGGAAGUUUUGGACAAUGGGCGCAAGCCUGAUCCAGCCAUGCCGCGUGC
This 377-nucleotide ribosomal RNA is filed under the name uncultured bacterium. Its description in RNAcentral is "bacterial SSU rRNA". It matches the Rfam family "Bacterial small subunit ribosomal RNA", at positions 29 to 404 of the family's 1533-position model. The record is from RNAcentral.